Molecule: transfer RNA, 90 nt
Filed under: Chloroflexota bacterium
Lineage: Bacteria; Bacillati; Chloroflexota
Description: Chloroflexi bacterium (groundwater metagenome) tRNA-Ser
Rfam family: tRNA
About the family: Transfer RNA (tRNA) molecules are approximately 80 nucleotides in length.
Source: RNAcentral
GGAGAGAUGGCCGAGUGGUUGAAGGCGCCGCUCCCGAAAAGCGGUGUGCCCGCAAAGGCACCGUGGGUUCGAAUCCCACUCUCUCCGCCA